This 473-nucleotide ribosomal RNA is filed under the name uncultured bacterium. RNAcentral's name for it is "partial 16S ribosomal RNA". It matches the Rfam family "Bacterial small subunit ribosomal RNA", at positions 28 to 507 of the family's 1533-position model. The record is from RNAcentral.
GAUGAACGCUAGCGGCAGGCCUAAUACAUGCAAGUCGAACGGGCGGUAGCAAUACCGCUAGUGGCGCACGGGUGCGUAACGCGUAACCAACCUGCCCAGAUCUGGGGGAUAGCCCGCCGAAAGGCGGAUUAAUACCGCAUAAACCCACAGUGUGGCAUCACAUAAUGGGUAAAGAUUUAUCGGAUCUGGAUGGGGUUGCGUAGCAUUAGCUAGUUGGCGGGGUAAUGGCCCACCAAGGUGACGAUGCUUAGGGGACCUGAGAGGGUGAUCCCCCACACUGGCACUGAGAUACGGGCCAGACUCCUACGGGAGGCAGCAGUAGGGAAUAUUGGGCAAUGGGCGAGAGCCUGACCCAGCCAUGCCGCGUGCCGGAUGAAGGCCUUCUGGGUUGUAAACGGCUUUUCUCAGGGAAGAAAACGGGGAUGCGUCCUCAACUGACGGUACCUGAGGAAUAAGCACCGGCUAACUCCGUG